GACGAACGCUGGCGGCGUGCUUAACACAUGCAAGUCGAACGGAAAGGCCCUGCUUUUGUGGGGUGCUCGAGUGGCGAACGGGGGAGUAACACGUGAGUAACCUGCCCUUGACUUUGGGAUAACUUCAGGAAACUGGGGCUAAUACAGGAUAGGAGCUCCUGCUGCAUGGUGGGGGUUGGAAAGUUUCGGCGGUUGGGGAUGGACUGGCGGCUUAUCAGCUUGUUGGUGGGGUAGUGGCUUACCAAGGCUUUGACGGGUAGCCGGCCUGAGAGGGUGACCGGCGACAUGGGUACUGAGAGACGGCCCAGACUCCUACGGGAGGCAGCGGGGGGGAAUAUUGCACAAUGGGCGGAAGCCUGAUGCAGCAACGCCGCGUGCGGGAUGACGGCCUUCGGGUUGUAAACCGCUUUCGCCUGUGACGAAGCGUGAGUGACGGUAAUGGGUAAAGAAGCACCGGCUAACUACGUG
RNAcentral lists this ribosomal RNA (468 nucleotides) under uncultured bacterium. RNAcentral's name for it is "partial 16S ribosomal RNA". It matches the Rfam family "Bacterial small subunit ribosomal RNA", at positions 28 to 507 of the family's 1533-position model. The record is from RNAcentral.